UGUCCCGAGCUGUCUUGGCCCGGCUGGCGGCCACGUCCUCGCGCCGGGCAGCGGGCGCUCCCCGCCGUCCGAGGGCGCCGGGCCGCCGCGGGGCUGCCGCGCCUGGAUGCACCUGUUUCCAGAGUGGAGCGUCUGCCUUCGUCCUACCUGUGCACGAAGCAUGCCAUGGCCCGGGGGCGCACCUCCUGCAGAGCCGGACCUCACCUGGCCCGCCCCCAGUGCCCAGCCCGCAGCUCCCCGACGAGGAAGAUGGCCCAGCCCAGGAGUGCGCCCUGAGCGGCCGCCUCUGGUUCCCUGGCUGGGCAGGAGGGAGCCGUCACCAGUCUGAGCAGCCGGCCGGCCCGGCCCGGCCGCAAGAUGUGGGCAGCCCUUGUGUUCCUGUGCGUUUCCUCCUUGUCCUUGUCUGAAAGCCGGGUGGCGUCCCCCGAGGCACGGCCCUUCAUCCCUCACGGGACGUGGAACAAACUGGUCCAGCGAGAUGCAUCAGUGGGAACGGCUCCGGGGACCGAGAGUAAAACGCCGGCGCCGGCGCAAACCAGCGCGCUGACGGCGGGGGACUGUGGUGACCGGCCACACCUCCACGGCCAUCACGGCAGGGACGACAAACAGCACAACACACACGGCCCCGGCCACUGUGCAGGGGACGACGGGCGGGGGCGGCCUCCCGA
This is a long non-coding RNA of Lepus europaeus (European hare), 668 nucleotides long. RefSeq lists it as uncharacterized. The transcript is spliced from 4 exons. The record is from RefSeq and is a predicted model, not a curated record. NCBI's taxonomy places the organism in Eukaryota, Metazoa, Chordata, Mammalia, Lagomorpha, Leporidae.